UUCGCAAUGCCCGAAAGGGUGACGAAGCGACGCCGCGUGUGGGAAGAAGGCCCUCGGGUUGUAAACCACUGUCAGGAGUUAAGAAAUAUAGAGAUGUUAAUAGCGUCUCUAUUUGACGAAGGCUCCAGAGGAAGCCACGGCUAACUCUGUGCCAGCAGCCGCGGUAAUACAGAGGUGGCAAGCGUUGUUCGGAAUUAUUGGGCGUAAAGAGCACGUAGGCGGCCUUGCAAGUCAGUUGUGAAAGCCUUUCGCUCAACGGAGGAAUGGCAGCUGAUACUACAGGGCUAGAGUGCGGGAGGGGAGAGUGGAACUUCUGGUGGAGCGGUGAAAAGCGUAGAUAUCAGAAGGAACGCCGGCGGCGAAAGCGACUCUCUGGACCGCAACUGACGCUGAGUGUGCGAAAGCUAGGGGAGCAAACGGGAUUAGAUACCCCGGUAGUCCUAGCCGUAAACGAUGGGCACUAAGUAGAGGGGUUUUA
RNAcentral lists this ribosomal RNA (478 nucleotides) under uncultured bacterium. RNAcentral describes it as "bacterial SSU rRNA". It matches the Rfam family "Bacterial small subunit ribosomal RNA", at positions 365 to 833 of the family's 1533-position model. The record is from RNAcentral.